Molecule: transfer RNA, 72 nt
Filed under: Chryseobacterium sp. Bi04
Lineage: Bacteria; Pseudomonadati; Bacteroidota; Flavobacteriia; Flavobacteriales; Weeksellaceae
Description: tRNA-Trp
Rfam family: tRNA
About the family: Transfer RNA (tRNA) molecules are approximately 80 nucleotides in length. Their secondary structure includes four short double-helical elements and three loops (D, anti-codon, and T loops). Further hydrogen bonds mediate the characteristic L-shaped molecular structure. tRNAs have two regions of fundamental functional importance: the anti-codon, which is responsible for specific mRNA codon recognition, and the 3' end, to which the tRNAs corresponding amino acid is attached (by aminoacyl-tRNA synthetases). tRNAs cope with the degeneracy of the genetic code in two manners: having more than one tRNA (with a specific anti-codon) for a particular amino acid; and 'wobble' base-pairing, i.e. permitting non-standard base-pairing at the 3rd anti-codon position.
Source: RNAcentral
ACUCCGAUAUUGUAAUGGCAGCAUUUCAGUCUCCAAAACUGACAGUAUAGGCUCGGGUCUGGUUCGGAGUGC